UCCAAAUAUCUUCUGUAAAGUGCGAAGAGGGGGGAAGUCCCAAGUGAAAAACAUGGUGGCUUUCAGCACACUAUCCCAUAAUCCCAUCCCACCCAACAAAUCCCCAUUUUAAUCUCCUUUUGAUUCUCUCACUAUUCAAUAUAACUACAUGAACAAUUAUAAUACUAACAAUAAUUAGUAUAGGAAACAAUCCCAAAUGGCCAAGUAAGUAUGGCAGGCCCAACCUCCCCAUGUUACAAAUCCCCCUUUACCUGUCCCCACUCUCUCUCCUUUUAUAAAAUCCCCAAGCCCUGCCUUCCCCUCUCCUUCACUCCCAUACCACCUCCUUCAUUGAUCUCUUCUCCUGUACACAUAUUUGAGCCAUCUAGUCUUUUUCCUCCUUCUGUUCAUUGCUAGAAAACCCAUCACAUUUAGACUUACAUAUUCAACACACAAGAAUAUACACAGAGCCUAAGAAAUUAUGUGCAGCUCUAAGGCCAAGGUGACCAUAGGGGUUGAAGUCACACCCAUGGUUGCUAGAAUCAAUGGCAGACCUGUCCUUCAGCCUACCUGCAAUCGGGUUCCUAGCCUCGACAGGAGGAAUUCGAUUAAGAAAAUAUCAACACCACCUCCCCCUCCACCAUUGCCAACUUCUUCUGCUAGUAGUACUAGUCCUAGAAUUUCCAACAAGGCUUCAUCAUUGUUAACACCUCCAAUUUCUCCGAAGUCAAAGUCUCCAAGGCCACCAGCAAUAAAGAGAGGAAAUGAUCCUAAUGGGUUGAACUCAAGUUCUGAGAAAGUUGUGACCCCAGGAGGUACCACAAGAGCUAAGAUUUUGGAAAGGAAGAAGUCCAAGAGCUUUAAGCGUGCUAGUGUUGGUGUUGAUGGUGCUUCUGCUGAUCUUCAUCAUCAUGGAGAUUUUAGUGCUGGUGGAUUUUCUUCUUCUUUGAAUAUCGAGGCAUCAUUGAGUUAUUCGUCUUCUUUGAUCACUGAGGCGCCGGGAAGCAUUGCUGCUGUGAGGAGGGAGCAGAUGGCCCUUCAACAUGCACAAAGGAAGAUGAGGAUUGCCCAUUAUGGAAGAUCAAAGUCAGCCAACUUUGAAAGGGUUGUUCCUGUUGAUGCUUCUGGUAAUAUAGAAGCCAAGGGAGCUGAAGAAGAGAAAAGGUGCAGCUUUAUCACAGCUAAUUCAGAUCCCAUCUAUGUUGCUUACCAUGAGUUCCAGUUCAUGAUGACAAGAUGUUGUUUGAACUGCUUGUUCUGAGUGGAGCUCAAGUUGGCUCAGAUUGGACUUCCAUUUUAAAGAAACGCCAAGAUUUCAGGAAUGCAUUUUCAGAUUUUGAUGCAGAAAUUGUGGCCAAUUUCACUGACAAGCAGAUGGUGUCAAUUGGUUCAGAAUAUGGCAUUGAUAUAAGCAGGGUCCGAGGAGUUGUGGACAACUCUAACCGAAUUCGUGAGAUUAAGAAGGAAUUUGGAUCAUUUGACAAGUACAUCUGGGGGUUUGUCAAUCAGAAACCCAUCUCACCUCAGUACAAAUUAGGCUACAAAAUCCCAGUUAAGACAUCAAAAUCAGAGUCCAUCAGCAAGGACAUGGUUAGGAGGGGAUUUAGGUUUGUGGGUCCAACAGUUGUUCAUUCUUUCAUGCAAGCCUCAGGCCUCACAAACGACCAUUUGAUCACUUGCCACAGGCACCUCCAGUGUACCUUGUUGGCAGCUCGCCGUCCCACAUUGGAAGAAGUUCUAUAGGAUCAUUGACAUCAAAGAGGAAAAAAUUAAUGACCCAAAAGUGUUUAGGGCUCAAUAUGCUAGAGAAGUGAGUGCAUAGUUUGCUAACUAUAUAAAAAAGCAAAAAAAGAAGAAGUUACUUUUGAUGGUUGUGACUUGUGUGUAUAAUAUAAAUAGAGAAAAUGAUUGUGAUUAGUUGUGAGAUUUAAUUUAGGGAUCGAGAAUGCUUCAACGAUUAAAAUUCGUGUGAACGACUGAUAUGAUAGUAUUCUUAGUUAAAAAGUUUGAAAUAGACCGACGAGUGGUGUUGCAGAGGGAGCUUUAAAGGAGACAGGCAUCAUGUGCAUAUGCAAUAAGGAGGCAGGGCAUGUGUGGAUGUGUCAGUGUUGCUUUUUAUUCCAUGUGACCCAUCAAACUCUGCAUUAUUUUGAAUUCCUUUAACAGGCUGUGUGGGAUAUUGGAAGAUGGAGUGUAGGACCAGACCACAUAUUAAUUUCUCUUUCUCAAUUGCUUUGUUAAUUGAGUUGUUAGUUAAUCUUCUGUACCUGUAUUUUUCUAACCCUUUUUGGCUUUGGGGGAAUAUUAUACCCCAUUGUUGUGUAUCUUGAAUUUGAUGUGAGAGGUUUUGAGUGUUGUUUGAUUCAAUUUCCAUGUGCUUGCUUCUGUUCUGAUUGCUGACUUUUAUAUAUAAAAUACAUUUUCAAAUGUUAAUCAAAUAA
Molecule: RNA transcript, 2420 nt
Organism: Prunus dulcis (almond)
Lineage: Eukaryota; Viridiplantae; Streptophyta; Magnoliopsida; Rosales; Rosaceae
Exons: 5
Source: RefSeq, a predicted model, not a curated record